RNAcentral lists this ribosomal RNA (500 nucleotides) under uncultured bacterium. Its description in RNAcentral is "partial 16S ribosomal RNA". It matches the Rfam family "Bacterial small subunit ribosomal RNA", at positions 28 to 507 of the family's 1533-position model. The record is from RNAcentral.
GACGAACGCUGGCGGCGUGCUUAACACAUGCAAGUCGAACGGGUCUGCCCUGUUUUUUGCGGGGUGGGUCAGUGGCGAACGGGUGAGUAACACGUGAGUAACCUGCCCCUCACUUCUGGAUAACCGCUUGAAAGGGUGGCUAAUACGGGGUGUUCUGGCUGUGCCGCAUGGUGUGGCUGGGAAAGAUUCACUUUUGUGGUGUUUUGGUGGGGGAUGGGCUCGCGGCCUAUCAGCUUGUUGGUGGGGUGAUGGCCUGCCAAGGCUUUGACGGGUAGCCGGCCUGAGAGGGUGGGCGGUCACACUGGGACUGAGAUACGGCCCAGACUCCUGCGGGAGGCAGCAGUGGGGGGUAUUGCACAAUGGGCGGAAGCCUGAUGCAGCGACGUCGCGUGGGGGAUGGGGGCCUUCGGGUUGUGAACCUCUUUCGCCGGUGAAGAAGGUCCUGCUCUUUGUGGUGGGGUUGACGGUAGCCGGGUUAUGAAGCGCCGGCUAACUACGUG